AUUGAACGCUGACGGCAUGCUUAACACAUGCAAGUCGAGCGAGCGGCGGACGGGUGAGUAAUGUCUGGGAAACUGCCUGAUGGAGGGGGAUAACUACUGUAAACGUUAGCUAAUACCGCAUACCAUCAGAUGUGCCCAGGUGGGAGUAGCUAGUAGGUGGGGUAAUGGCUCACCUAGGCGACGAUCCCUAGCUGGUCUGAGAGGAUGACCAGCCACACUGGGACGGAGACACGGUCCAGACUCCUCCGGGAGGCAGCAGUGGGGAAUAUUGCACAAUGGGAGCAAGCCUGAUGCAGCCAUGCCGCGUGGGUGAAGAAGGCCUUCGGGUUGUAAAGCACUUUCAGCGAGGAGGCGUUACUCGCAGAAGAAGCACCGGCUAACUCCGUGCCAGCAGCCGCGGUAAUUC
This 406-nucleotide ribosomal RNA is filed under the name uncultured bacterium. Its description in RNAcentral is "partial 16S ribosomal RNA". It matches the Rfam family "Bacterial small subunit ribosomal RNA", at positions 30 to 526 of the family's 1533-position model. The record is from RNAcentral.